GCCGGAGUGGCGGAAUGGCAGACGCGCACGACUCAAAAUCGUGUGGGUACCCCCCGUGAGGGUUCAAGUCCCUCCUCCGGCA
Molecule: transfer RNA, 82 nt
Filed under: Candidatus Eiseniibacteriota bacterium
Lineage: Bacteria; Candidatus Eiseniibacteriota
Description: tRNA-Leu
Rfam family: tRNA
About the family: Transfer RNA (tRNA) molecules are approximately 80 nucleotides in length.
Source: RNAcentral